This 427-nucleotide ribosomal RNA is filed under the name Paenibacillus taohuashanense. Its description in RNAcentral is "bacterial SSU rRNA". Lineage: Bacteria; Bacillati; Bacillota; Bacilli; Caryophanales; Paenibacillaceae. The record is from RNAcentral.
CCUACGGGWGGCWGCAGUAGGGAAUCUUCCGCAAUGGGCGAAAGCCUGACGGAGCAACGCCGCGUGAGUGAUGAAGGUUUUCGGAUCGUAAAGCUCUGUUGCCAGGGAAGAACGUCCGGUAGAGUAACUGCUACCGGAGUGACGGUACCUGAGAAGAAAGCCCCGGCUAACUACGUGCCAGCAGCCGCGGUAAUACGUAGGGGGCAAGCGUUGUCCGGAAUUAUUGGGCGUAAAGCGCGCGCAGGCGGCUAUUUAAGUCUGGUGUUUAAACCUUGGGCUCAACCUGAGGUCGCACUGGAAACUGGGUGGCUUGAGUACAGAAGAGGAAAGUGGAAUUCCACGUGUAGCGGUGAAAUGCGUAGAGAUGUGGAGGAACACCAGUGGCGAAGGCGACUUUCUGGGCUGUAACUGACGCUGAGGCGCGAAA